RNAcentral lists this ribosomal RNA (497 nucleotides) under uncultured bacterium. Its description in RNAcentral is "partial 16S ribosomal RNA". It matches the Rfam family "Bacterial small subunit ribosomal RNA", at positions 28 to 507 of the family's 1533-position model. The record is from RNAcentral.
GAUGAACGCUGGCGGCGUGCCUAAUACAUGCAAGUCGAGCGAACGGACGAGAAGCUUGCUUCUCUGAUGUUAGCGGCGGACGGGUGAGUAACACGUGGAUAACCUACCUAUGAGACUGGGAUAACUUCGGGAAACCGGAGCUAAUACCGGAUGAUAUUUUGAACCGCAUGGUUCAACAGUGAAAGACGGUCUUGCUGUCACUUAUAGAUGGAUCCGCGCUGCAUUAGCUAGUUGGUAAGGUAACGGCUUACCAAGGCAACGAUGCAUAGCCGACCUGAGAGGGUGAUCGGCCACACUGGAACUGAGACACGGUCCAGACUCCUACGGGAGGCAGCAGUAGGGAAUCUUCCGCAAUGGGCGAAAGCCUGGCGGAGCAACGCCGCGUGAGUGAUGAAGGUCUUCGGAUCGUAAAACUCUGUUAUUAGGGAAGAACAUAUGUGUAAGUAACUGUGCACAUCUUGACGGUACCUAAUCAGAAAGCCACGGCUAACUACGUG